GCGGUGGUGAGCCACAGCGGGUCGCUGGUCAGCACGGCCUCGUCGCCGAGGUGGUCGCCGUCGGUGACCACGCCGAGCAGGUUGGUGUCACCGUACUUGCCCGUGCUCAGCCGGUUGAUCCGGCCGUGGGCGAUGAUGAACACCUCCUCGAUCGGGGUGCCCUCCUCCACGAGCACCUCACCGGCGCGGAACUCCCGCACCUGGAAGCGCGAGGCGAGCUCCCGCAGCACCGCCAGGUCCUCGAAGUCCCGCAGUGCCGGGAUCUCCCGGAGCGUCUCCGGGACGAUCUGCACGUCGUCCGCCCCGCCCUGCACGAAGCCGACCCGGCCGCGCCCCACCGCGAGCGACAGCCGCCGGUUGACCCGGUAGGUGCCGCCGGCGACGUUGACCCACGGCAGGUUCUUCAUCAGCCAGCGUGAACUGAUGCCCUGCAUCUGUGGCGUGGACUUGGUCGUGGUCGCCAGGUUGCGCGCGGCGCGGGUACUGAGGCUCUGCUGGUCGGGAGCU
RNAcentral lists this antisense RNA (507 nucleotides) under Streptacidiphilus jiangxiensis. Its description in RNAcentral is "Saccharopolyspora sRNA 350". It matches the Rfam family "Saccharopolyspora sRNA 350". Lineage: Bacteria; Bacillati; Actinomycetota; Actinomycetes; Kitasatosporales; Streptomycetaceae. The record is from Rfam by way of RNAcentral.